Molecule: ribosomal RNA, 543 nt
Filed under: Morganella morganii
Lineage: Bacteria; Pseudomonadati; Pseudomonadota; Gammaproteobacteria; Enterobacterales; Morganellaceae
Description: partial 23S ribosomal RNA
Rfam family: Bacterial large subunit ribosomal RNA
Source: RNAcentral
UGGCGUAAUGAUGGCCAGGCUGUCUCCACCCGAGACUCAGUGAAAUUGAACUCGCUGUGAAGAUGCAGUGUACCCGCGGCAAGACGGAAAGACCCCGUGAACCUUUACUAUAGCUUGACACUGAACACUGGUCCUUGAUGUGUAGGAUAGGUGGGAGGCUUUGAAGCGUGGACGCCAGUCUGCGUGGAGCCGUCCUUGAAAUACCACCCUUUAAUGGCUGGUGUUCUAACGUAGACCCGUAAUCCGGGUUGCGGACAGUGUCUGGUGGGUAGUUUGACUGGGGCGGUCUCCUCCCAAAGAGUAACGGAGGAGCACGAAGGUUAGCUAAUCCUGGUCGGACAUCAGGAGGUUAGUGCAAUGGCAUAAGCUAGCUUGACUGCGAGAGUGACGGCUCGAGCAGGUGCGAAAGCAGGUCAUAGUGAUCCGGUGGUUCUGAAUGGAAGGGCCAUCGCUCAACGGAUAAAAGGUACUCCGGGGAUAACAGGCUGAUACCGCCCAAGAGUUCAUAUCGACGGCGGUGUUUGGCACCUCGAUGUCGGCUCA